This 301-nucleotide long non-coding RNA is filed under the name Nicotiana tabacum (common tobacco). Its description in RNAcentral is "long non-coding RNA (NTAB_LNC009892)". The record is from RNAcentral. Lineage: Eukaryota; Viridiplantae; Streptophyta; Magnoliopsida; Solanales; Solanaceae.
GAGCUGUCGGAUCGACGAAGCUGUUGUUGGCCCUCAUGGUGCUGAGUAUGCAUACCACCAGUACCCAUACCCAUUCCAGUACCUUGGGUUCCAUACUGAUCUCCACCCAUAGCCCCCAUUCCAGUACCACCCUGAGUUCCAUAGGCUCCACCACCAGUGGUCCCCAUACCAGUACCUUGGCCUUGGGUUCCAUAUUCUCCACCACCUAUGCCCCCCAUACCUUGCUGAGUUCCAUAGGCACCAGUACUGCCCAUGCCCCCACUUUCUUGGACCCGGUUUCCAUAUUCAUCAGUCUGGCGCA